Molecule: ribosomal RNA, 317 nt
Filed under: uncultured eukaryote
Lineage: Eukaryota
Description: partial large subunit ribosomal RNA
Rfam family: Eukaryotic large subunit ribosomal RNA
Source: RNAcentral
AUAUUAUUAAGCGGAGGAAAAGAAACUAACAAGGAUUCCCCUAGUAACGGCGAGUGAAGCGGGAAAAGCUCAAAGUUAAAAUCGGCGCUCUUCGCGGGGUGUCCGAAUUGUAAUCUAGAGACGCUAUCUCAGUUGUGACGCGGGUAUAAAUCUUUUGAAACAAGGUAUCAUAGAGGGUGAGAAUCCCGUCUUUGACCCGCAGAUCGCAACGUAUGAGAGGUGUUCCAAGAGUCGAAUAGCUUGGGAAUGCUGUUCUAAACGGGUGGUAAAUUUCAUCUAAAGCUAAAUAUCGACGAGAGACCGAUAGCGCACAAGUA